Meriones unguiculatus (Mongolian gerbil) is the source of this 1834-nucleotide long non-coding RNA. RefSeq lists it as uncharacterized. The transcript has 3 exons. The record is from RefSeq and is a predicted model, not a curated record. Lineage: Eukaryota; Metazoa; Chordata; Mammalia; Rodentia; Muridae.
CUCUGGAUAUAAAGCCACAUCUCUCUUGUCCUCUCUCUUUUCUUCUUAGUGACAAGAAGAGUAAUUUUCUCUGCAGCCUGACAUCUGAAAUUCUGCCUAGCUCUCACUAAAGAUAAGCAAGUUUCCAGCCCUGGAAGAUUUGGGAGAACACAAGGCGUGCCAGCAGGCUUAUUCCUCAUCUACUUAAUGUCAUUCUGGGUCAGCUGGCAGUUGAUGCUCACUAUAUGGUUGGUUUCUCUGAGAGAAGACACUUCAGCAAAUGUCUGAGGGGCCUCACCACCCUAUCCCUAAGCACACGAAGUGAGUUAUACAAUGGUUCAUAAAGAGAAUUACAAAUUGUGCUCUUCCAUCCCAGGGCUAAAACAGCAGGAAGCAGAGGAGCAGUAGCCCAGCUCUUACAGAAACUCCACUCCUUUACUGGCACCAGGGACCUUCACCAUUCAUAAGCACAUUGCCUCACUUGGUUCGAAGUAUAGCUUGUUCUGCAGGACAUGUGUGCAAACUGGUGCUUAUUUAGAAACAGAGAUCCUGGGUCUGUUGCCAUCUGAUCCCCAGAACUGAACAGCCUGACAUAUGCAGACUCCGGACAGUUUCUGAAAGGAAAACAGGUGUGCUUGCAUUCUGGUAAGGAUUUCCAUUAUGCUCAUAGCUGAAAAUUCAGAUUGGGUCAUUAAAUUUUUCAGCCAGGCGGAGUCACAAAAAAACCACCCACACACAAAAUAAAUAGGUCAGACAAACCAAGAAAAAAAAAAAGGGCUUUUUGAAGAAAAAAGGAGACUUUGUCAAGGAGAGUGUUUAAUGAGAGCAUGAGUUAGACAGAAAAGACAGCAUAUGAUUAGGAAAAAGCUAAGCCACUGCCUUUUGGGUGUGUCCUGAGUCAAAGCAUCUCCGACUCUGACCCACUGAAACUACUGAAUCUUUUCCAAGCAGGUAUGAAAAUGCAGUUUUGUGUCCUGUUAGUUUCAAUUCUUGUUUCAGAGUAGCAGAAACCUCACCAGCCAAUUGUUAUUAUAAAUAAUUUCCUUCCGGCGUUGAUUUCCGUUAGUAUUUAUCAAUGCAGUCAGCCCAAAUGGUGCGACAGCAAGCCACAGAAGUGGGGAAGUAGAUGGGCCCUGGCAAUCAGAAAGCACGCUUUCUCUCAACAACUGUCAUUUGUGACUCUUUGGUAACUAGAUGCAAUCAACAAUAUCAGCUCUCUGGCUUGUGGUGAUCUUACUUUGAAAUGGUGUGGAAUGUAACAGUGGGCAACCAUGUUCUUCCGGGGUAUGGGCUGGGCUCCGUAGCUCCUAACAAUUACUUGUAGUUUUCCCCAUUGUUUUCUUUACCAUUGCUCUUACUCCUAUUAUUCACAUUCUCUCACUUUUUCUAUUAUUCUGAUAAGUCUUGUUUCUGUUAAUGGGACCUAGAGUAAACAAAACAAACAAACAAACAAAAAACAAAGUCUGUGGAACUAUUGAAGAGGCUACUGUCUGUGACCUUCAGAGAAGAUGAUACAGAAAUGGAGAAUUCGUGAGGGCAGAUGUCAGAGUACCCUGAGCAGAACAAAGCACUCAAUAAAUGUGGCUGUGCAGCAUAUUGUGUGUAGUUGAAAACAUGUCUCUUGAGUUUUCAGGUAAAAUUUACCAACAAUGCUGAGGUACUGUUACCCCUCCACCAGCAGCUUUCCCCAAUCUUCCUCAAGCACAAGGAGAAUUUUGCUUCUAGAACAUCACAGCUUGGACUACUUCGGACCAGCCUCCCAAUCGGUGAAGCCAAAGGAACGAAGUAGGAACAGACCCAGAAAAUUGUUUUGAUGUCCUAAACUCAUUCAAAACAGAUUAAAUUCAUGCUGCCA